GCCUGGUUGGCUCAGUGGGUAGAGCGUCAGCCUGCAGACUGAAGGGUCCCAGGUUUGAUUCCUGGUCAGGGCA
This 73-nucleotide transfer RNA is filed under the name Myotis brandtii (Brandt's bat). It matches the Rfam family "tRNA". Rfam says of the family: Transfer RNA (tRNA) molecules are approximately 80 nucleotides in length. Their secondary structure includes four short double-helical elements and three loops (D, anti-codon, and T loops). Further hydrogen bonds mediate the characteristic L-shaped molecular structure. tRNAs have two regions of fundamental functional importance: the anti-codon, which is responsible for specific mRNA codon recognition, and the 3' end, to which the tRNAs corresponding amino acid is attached (by aminoacyl-tRNA synthetases). tRNAs cope with the degeneracy of the genetic code in two manners: having more than one tRNA (with a specific anti-codon) for a particular amino acid; and 'wobble' base-pairing, i.e. permitting non-standard base-pairing at the 3rd anti-codon position. The record is from Rfam by way of RNAcentral. Lineage: Eukaryota; Metazoa; Chordata; Mammalia; Chiroptera; Vespertilionidae.